Molecule: long non-coding RNA, 173 nt
Organism: Chelonia mydas (Green sea turtle)
Lineage: Eukaryota; Metazoa; Chordata; Testudines; Cheloniidae
Exons: 4
Source: RefSeq, a predicted model, not a curated record
AAAAACUAAACAUGGCUCUGAACUGGAUAGGAACUCCCAACUUGUCACAGAGGACAUGAAAUUGUAUAAAAGAUCCUUGGAUCCUGAUUCUGUCAUCUCUGAUCUGCUUAGGCUUCAUCAGGGGAAGUUUGAGUCACAAGAUUGAGGUCCUAGUUAUGCUGGUACGCCCUGAA